Molecule: long non-coding RNA, 1599 nt
Organism: Bos taurus (domestic cattle)
Lineage: Eukaryota; Metazoa; Chordata; Mammalia; Artiodactyla; Bovidae
Source: Ensembl
AAAACACUCUCCUCCCUAAUGCGGGUGGCUCUCCUCCAAUCAUUAGUUGAGGGUUUGAACAGAACAAAAAGGCAGACUCUCCUGUGAUUAAGAGAGAAUUCUUCCCAUUUGACUCCUUGAGCUGGGACAUCACUAUUUUCCUGCUUUUGGAUUCCAACUGAAGCACCAGCUUUUCUUGGGUUGCAAGCCUUCUGGCUUUCAUACUGAAACUACAUCAUCAACUCUCUUAAGUCUCCAGCUUGCCAACUGAAGAUCUUCAGACUUCUCAGCCUCCAUAAUUGUGCAAGUUCUCCGUGAAUUACAGCAAACAUGGCUCUAAGAGUGGCUGACUGCGUGCAGCUGUGAACACCCACCAUGUUAGUAAGGAAGAGUCCCUGCAUCCAUAGCCAACUCUGGUAAAGUUCUCUGGAGCCAAAUCAAGCUGUGAGUCUGAGUCAGACACCCAACCCUCAUGCCUGGUGAGGUGGGACUAGGUUAUUGACAGUCUCACCAGGUCAGUGAGAUGCAGCUACGUUGGAAGCCUGUUUCAGCCUGAACAUGUUAAGUCCAGUCCUCAGCAAGGUGCACAGUCUCACCCAGCUCAACUUGUUUCCUUUUUCAUUAAAAAAUAUUCAUUUAGCUGAACCUGGUCUUCACUGUAGCAUGCCGGAUCUUUGGUCUUCACUGUGGCAUGGGGAAUCUUUAGCUGGGGCAUGCAAACUCUUAGAUGUGGCAAAGAGAAUCCAGUUCGCUGACCAGGGACCAAAUUCAGGCCCCCAGCAUUGGGAGCUCAGACUCUUAGCCACUGGACCCCUAGGGAAGUUCCCUCAGCUUUUUUCUUGUUAAGUCUCCUACCCACUUUCUUCUCAGCACCCAUCACAGUAUCACACAUAAGGUAGGUGUUCAGUAUAAUUUAAAGAUGGUAACAGCUCUCAAAUUAGCAAGGCCUUUAGCUCAAAGUGAAGUCUUCUGCAUUCUUUUUGUCUGCUGUUUGUUCGGUGUGACAAUGUAAAUGUUUUGCCUUGCUCAAUGCACUCCUGAUGUUUUGGAGAUGUGGUAUAUUAGUUAUAUUAGCCUGAGUUUGUUUUGUGGUAGUACCACAUCCCCUUUUGGCACGUAUGACAGAGAGGCAGCCUUAGCCAGUGUCAUACUUUCUUCUCUUACUAAAGACAUAGAUUAUGCUUAUGUAACUCUUGCACCAGUCCAUCCUAAAAGAAAUCAGUCCUGAAUGUUCAUUGGAAGGACUGAUGUUGAAGCUGAAACUCCAAUACUUUGGCCACUUGAUGCAAAGAGCUGACUCGUUUGAAAAGAUCCUGAUGCUGGGAAAGAUUGAAGGUGAGAGGAGAAGGGAACGACAGAGGAUGAGAUGGUUGGAUGGCAUCACCGACUCAAUGAAUAUGAGUUUGAGUAAACUCCAGAAGUUGGUGAUGGACAGGGAGGCCUAGUGUGCUGCAGUCCGUGGGGUUGCAAAGAGUUGGACAUGACUGAGCAACUGAACUGAACUGAACUGAACUCUUGCAUGGGAGAACAACCCAAAAAGUGUUUGAUUUGGGUCCUUACUGACAUUUUGGCCAGUGUAUCGCCAAGAUGUGAGUUUUCUGUUUACAAUUUAUUAAGGUG